GAUGAACGCUGGCGGCGUGCCUAAUACAUGCAAGUCGAGCGAACGGACGAGAAGCUUGCUUCUCUGAUGUUAGCGGCGGACGGGUGAGUAACACGUGGAUAACCUACCUAUAAGACUGGGAUAACUUCGGGAAACCGGAGCUAAUACCGGAUAAUAUUUUGAACCGCAUGGUUCAAAAGUAAAAGACGGUCUUGCUGUCACUUAUAGAUGGAUCCGCGCUGCAUUAGCUAGUUGGUAAGGUAACGGCUUACCAAGGCAACGAUGCAUAGCCGACCUGAGAGGGUGAUCGGCCACACUGGAACUGAGACACGGUCCAGACUCCUACGGGAGGCAGCAGUAGGGAAUCUUCCGCAAUGGGCGAAAGCCUGACGGAGCAACGCCGCGUGAGUGAUGAAGGUCUUCGGAUCGUAAAACUCUGUUAUUAGGGAAGAACAUAUGUGUAAGUAACUGUGCACAUCUUGACGGUACCUAAUCAGAAAGCCACGGCUAACUACGUGCCAGCAGCCGCGGUAAUACGUAGGUGGCAAGCGUUAUCCGGAAUUAUUGGGCGUAAAGCGCGCGUAGGCGGUUUUUUAAGUCUGAUGUGAAAGCCCACGGCUCAACCGUGGAGGGUCAUUGGAAACUGGAAAACUUGAGUGCAGAAGAGGAAAGUGGAAUUCCAUGUGUAGCGGUGAAAUGCGCAGAGAUAUGGAGGAACACCAGUGGCGAAGGCGACUUUCUGGUCUGUAACUGACGCUGAUGUGCGAAAGCGUGGGGAUCAAACAGGAUUAGAUACCCUGGUAGUCCACGCCGUAAACGAUGAGUGCUAAGUGUUAGGGGGUUUCCGCCCCUUAGUGCUGCAGCUAACGCAUUAAGCACUCCGCCUGGGGAGUACGACCGCAAGGUUGAAACUCAAAGGAAUUGACGGGGACCCGCACAAGCGGUGGAGCAUGUGGUUUAAUUCGAAGCAACGCGAAGAACCUUACCAAAUCUUGACAUCCUUUGACAACUCUAGAGAUAGAGCCUUCCCCUUCGGGGGACAAAGUGACAGGUGGUGCAUGGUUGUCGUCAGCUCGUGUCGUGAGAUGUUGGGUUAAGUCCCGCAACGAGCGCAACCCUUAAGCUUAGUUGCCAUCAUUAAGUUGGGCACUCUAAGUUGACUGCCGGUGACAAACCGGAGGAAGGUGGGGAUGACGUCAAAUCAUCAUGCCCCUUAUGAUUUGGGCUACACACGUGCUACAAUGGACAAUACAAAGGGCAGCGAAACCGCGAGGUCAAGCAAAUCCCAUAAAGUUGUUCUCAGUCCGGAUUGUAGUCUGCAACUCGACUACAUGAAGCUGGAAUCGCUAGUAAUCGUAGAUCAGCAUGCUACGGUGAAUACGUUCCCGGGUCU
This 1372-nucleotide ribosomal RNA is filed under the name uncultured bacterium. RNAcentral's name for it is "bacterial SSU rRNA". It matches the Rfam family "Bacterial small subunit ribosomal RNA", at positions 28 to 1381 of the family's 1533-position model. The record is from RNAcentral.